CACGUGGAGAAAAUAGUCCUUACAAGUAGAAAAAACAGGGGGAAUAGAAAAACUGGAUCAGAAUAGAUUGGAGUAUAUAAAUAUCUAAAAAAAAUAUUGUUUAUUAGAUUAUAAAAAAUUAUACAGGUCAAAAAUCUGCAUUUAAACCAUUGGAGUAGAGGGUAUCUAAAUAGUAUACCCAUUCCAUCUCUUUUUGACCAAGUUUAUUAAUAAUAUUACCACCUCUCCAGUGGUGGGUAAGUUUUGCAAUACCCAUACAUUUUAGGUUACUGGGAUCCUUUAUUAUGGGAAAGAAAUUGAGAGGAAACUAAAUGAUUUUUAAAACCAAUUUCUAUAUUACGGCAGUGUUCUCUAAUUCUUGUUUUCAACUGUCUUAUUAUUCUUCCUAAAUAUUG
Molecule: non-coding RNA, 395 nt
Organism: Pelobates cultripes (western spadefoot toad)
Lineage: Eukaryota; Metazoa; Chordata; Amphibia; Anura; Pelobatidae
Source: the annotation of a GenBank genome assembly